This 855-nucleotide ribosomal RNA is filed under the name Xanthoparmelia protomatrae. Its description in RNAcentral is "eukaryotic LSU rRNA". It matches the Rfam family "Eukaryotic large subunit ribosomal RNA", at positions 71 to 941 of the family's 3401-position model. The record is from RNAcentral. Lineage: Eukaryota; Fungi; Ascomycota; Lecanoromycetes; Lecanorales; Parmeliaceae.
GGGAUUGCCUCAGUAACGGCGAGUGAAGCGGCAACAGCUCAAAUUUGAAAUCUGGCUCCUUCGGGGUCCGAAUUGUAAUUUGUAGAGAGUGCUUCGGGCGAGACCUCGGUCUAAGUCCAUUGGAACAUGGUGUCAUAGAGGGUGAGAAUCCCGUAUGCGACCGUGGCUCGAGCCCAUGUGAAGCCUCUUCGACGAGUCGAGUUGUUUGGGAAUGCAGCUCAAAAUGGGUGGUAAAUUUCAUCUAAAGCUAAAUACUGGCUGGAGACCGAUAGCGCACAAGUAGAGUGAUCGAAAGAUGAAAAGCACUUUGGAAAGAGAGUCAAACAGUACGUGAAAUUGUUGAAAGGGAAGCGCUUGCAACCAGACCUGCCCGUAGGCGAUCAGCCGCUGUUCUCAGCGGUGUACUCGCUCUGCGAUCAGGCCAGCAUCGGUUUCGGCGGUCGGAUAAAGGCCUUGGGAAUGUAGCUUCCCUUCGGGGGAGUCUUAUAGCCCUCGGUGUAAUGCGGCCAGCUGGGACCGAGGACCGCGCUUCGGCUAGGAUGCUGGCGUAAUGGUUGUAAGCGACCCGUCUUGAAACACGGACCAAGGAGUCUAACAUCUAUGCGAGUGUUUGGGUGUCAAACCCAUACGCGGAAUGAAAGUGAACGGAGGUGAGAACCCUUAAGGGCGCAUCAUCGACCGAUCCAGAUGUCUUCGGAUGGAUUUGAGUAUGAGCAUAGCUGUUGGGACCCGAAAGAUGGUGAACUAUGCCUGAAUAGGGUGAAGCCAGAGGAAACUCUGGUGGAGGCUCGCAGCGGUUCUGACGUGCAAAUCGAUCGUCAAAUUUGGGUAUAGGGGCGAAAGACUAAUCGAACC